RNAcentral lists this ribosomal RNA (468 nucleotides) under uncultured bacterium. RNAcentral's name for it is "partial 16S ribosomal RNA". It matches the Rfam family "Bacterial small subunit ribosomal RNA", at positions 28 to 507 of the family's 1533-position model. The record is from RNAcentral.
GACGAACGCUGGCGGCGUGCUUAACACAUGCAAGUCGAACGGAAAGGCCCUGCUUUUGUGGGGUGCUCGAGUGGCGAACGGGUGAGUAACACGUGAGUAACCUGCCCUUGACUUUGGGAUAACUCCAGGAAACUGGGGCUAAUACCGGAUAGGAGCUCCUGCUGCAUGGGGGGGGUUGGAAAGUUUCGGCGGUUGUGGAUGGACUCGCGGCUUAUCAGCUUGUUGGUGGGGUAGUGGCUUACCAAGGCUUUGACGGGUAGCCGGCCUGAGAGGGUGACCGGCCACAUUGGGACUGAGAUACGGCCCAGACUCCUACGGGAGGCAGCAGUGGGGAAUAUUGCACAAUGGGCGGAAGCCUGAUGCAGCAACGCCGCGUGCGGGAUGACGGCCUUCGGGUUGUAAACCGCUUUCGCCUGUGACGAAGCGUGAGUGACGGUAAUGGGUAAAGAAGCACCGGCUAACUACGUG